UCAAGCUAGAAAGAGCGCAAGGGGAAUGCCUUGGCAUCAGGAGCCGAUGAAGGACGCGACAAGCUGCGAUAAGCUUCGGGUAGCUGCAAAUAAGCAAUGAUCCGGAGAUUUCCGAAUGGGGCAACCCGGCACGGCAAUACCGUGUCAGCGUGCACUGAAUCAAAUAGGUGUACGUGGGGAACCGCCUGAACUGAAACAUCUAAGUAGGGCGAGGAAAAGACAUCAACCGAGAUUCCGCAAGUAGUGGCGAGCGAACGCGGAGGAGGCCAAACCAGAGGUCAUUGAUCUCUGGGGUAAGGACUUGCAUCAUGAUCAGAGGUAUCUAGUCGAAUGGCGUGGGAAAGCCAACCACAGAGGGUGAGAGUCCCGUAGACGAAAGAGAAGACUGACAGCGAGUAUCCAGAGUACCGCCGGACACGUGAAACCCGGUGGGAACAUGGGAGGACCACCUUCCAAGCCUAAAUACUACCUGAUGACCGAUAGAGAAGCAGUACCGUGAGGGAAAGGUGAAAAGAACCCCGGGAGGGGAGUGAAAUAGUACCUGAAACCUUGUGCUUACAAGCAGUCAGAGCACGUUAAAGUGUGAUGGCGUACCUUUUGUAGAAUGGUCCGGCGAGUUAUAGUCACUGGCGAGGUUAAGCAAUUCAGUUGUGGAGCCGAAGGGAAACCGAGUCUUAAUAGGGCGUCGAGUCAGUGGCCAUAGACCUGAAACCGGGUGACCUAUCCAUGAGCAGGUUGAAGUUGGUGUAAAAGCCAAUGGAGGACCGAACCCACGUUCGUUGCAAUGACCGGGGAUGACUUGUGGAUAGCGGAGAAAUUCCAAUCGAACUCGGAGAUAGCUGGUUCUCCCCGAAAUAGCUUUAGGGCUAGCGUUGUGUUAGUUUACCGGAGGUAGAGCACUGAAUUGGCUAAGGGGCGAUGAGCUUACUGAACCUUAUCAAACUUCGAAUGCCGGAUAAAUGGUGCACAGCAGUCAGACAGUGUGAGAUAAGUUUCAUUGUCAAGAGGGAAACAGCCCAGACCCACAGCUAAGGUCCCAAAUGAACGCUAAGUGGAAAACGAUGUGGGGUUGCAAAAACAACCAGGAUGUUGGCUUAGAGGCAGCCACUCAUUAAAAGAGUGCGUAAUAGCUCACUGGUCGAGUGACCCUGCGCGGAAAAUAUAACGGGGCUAAGCGUCCAACCGAAGCUUGGGAUGUCUAAGGACAUGGUAGGGGAGCGUCGUGUAUAGGGAGAAGCAUGAGCGAGAGCACAUGUGGACAGUACACGAGUGAGAAUGCCGGAAUGAGUAGCGAGAAUUAUGUGGGAAUCAUAAUGGCCGAAAAUCUAAGGUUUCUUGGGGAAGGUUCGUCCGCCCAAGGUAAGCCGGGAGCUAAGGCGAGGCCGAAAGGCGUAGUCGAUGCACAUACGGUUGAAAUUCCGUAGCCGCCGAAAUUGUUAAGCACAGGGACACAUAGAGAUAUCCGAACCCGGGCGUUGGUUGACCCGGGCGCAAGGGACCGAACAUCAGUAGGGAAGUCGGAGAUGCUCUGUGGCGAGAAAAGCUGUGUGUAUUGAUUAGGCGCCCGUACCGCAAACCGACACAGGUAGAUGAGGAGAGAAUCCUAAGGCCAACGGGAGAAGGGUUGUUAAGGAACUCGGCAAAUUGACCCCGUAACUUCGGGAUAAGGGGAGCCUCCUACGGGAGGCCGCAGUGAAUAGGCCCAAGCAACUGUUUACCAAAAACACAGGUCUCUGCUAAAUCGAAAGAUGACGUAUAGGGGCUGACGCCUGCCCGGUGCCGGAAGGUUAAGAGGAGAGCUUAGCGCAAGCGAAGGUUCGAAUUGAAGCCCCGGUAAACGGCGGCCGUAACUAUAACGGUCCUAAGGUAGCGAAAUUCCUUGUCAGGUAAGUUCUGACCCGCACGAAUGGCGUAAUGAUUUGGGCACUGUCUCAACAGCCCGCCCGGCGAAAUUGUAGUACUGGUGAAGAUGCCAGUUACCCGCAACUACACGGAAAGACCCCAUGGAGCUUUACUGUAGCCUAAUACUGAAGAUCGGUAAUGC
RNAcentral lists this ribosomal RNA (2044 nucleotides) under human gut metagenome. RNAcentral describes it as "bacterial LSU rRNA". It matches the Rfam family "Bacterial large subunit ribosomal RNA", at positions 3 to 2133 of the family's 2925-position model. The record is from RNAcentral.